CAGCCGCCACGGUAAUACGUAGGUGGCAAGCGUUAUCCGGAAUUAUUGGGCGUAAAGCGCGCGUAGGCGGUUUUUUAAGUCUGAUGUGAAAGCCCACGGCUCAACCGUGGAGGGUCAUUGGAAACUGGAAAACUUGAGUGCAGAAGAGGAAAGUGGAAUUCCAUGUGUAGCGGUGAAAUGCGCAGAGAUAUGGAGGAACACCAGUGGCGAAGGCGACUUUCUGGUCUGUAACUGACGCUGAUGUGCGAAAGCGUGGGGAUCAAACAGGAUUAGAUACCCCCGUAGUCCCUGUCUCUUAUAA
RNAcentral lists this ribosomal RNA (301 nucleotides) under uncultured bacterium. Its description in RNAcentral is "partial 16S ribosomal RNA". It matches the Rfam family "Bacterial small subunit ribosomal RNA", at positions 509 to 809 of the family's 1533-position model. The record is from RNAcentral.